RNAcentral lists this ribosomal RNA (221 nucleotides) under uncultured bacterium. RNAcentral describes it as "partial 16S ribosomal RNA". It matches the Rfam family "Bacterial small subunit ribosomal RNA", at positions 29 to 279 of the family's 1533-position model. The record is from RNAcentral.
AACGAACGCUGGCGGCAGGCUUAACACAUGCAAGUCGAACGGGCGUAGCAAUACGUCAGUGGCGGACGGGUGAGUAACACGUGGGAAUAUGCCUUUCGGUUCGGAACAACUCGGGGAAGCCCGUGCUAAUUCCGGAUACGCCUUACGGGAAGGAUUAUCGCCGAAGAUUAGCCCGCGUUGGAUUAGCUAGUUGGUGAGGUAAAGGCUCACCAAGGCGACGA